Long non-coding RNA from Helianthus annuus (common sunflower), 341 nucleotides. RefSeq lists it as uncharacterized. NCBI's taxonomy places the organism in Eukaryota, Viridiplantae, Streptophyta, Magnoliopsida, Asterales, Asteraceae. The transcript has 3 exons. The record is from RefSeq and is a predicted model, not a curated record.
GAAAAAUGAGGCGAUGUUUGGAUUACAGAUUGAGAGAAAUGAGAUAAUUAGAAGACGAGAGAAAGAACUAAAUUAUCAAAGCUUAUACGCUACACGAAAUGACAUCAAAGGGUAUAUGCAUUGACCAACUCCAUGACCUUAUUUGAUCAGAUUACAAUCAAAGAAAUACUCAGGAAUCCGUUUUAUAUUGUUGUGAAGGCAAACCAACACCCAUGACCAUGGCUAUUAACAUGAAAUGCUCACUCACAAAGCUUAUGUUAAUGAACAAGUUCACUCCAAGAUAAGAGUGGUGUUAUUUAAGGGGCAAGCUUAAGGAGGACAACAUGUUGUACUUGGGAUGU